Molecule: non-coding RNA, 1390 nt
Organism: Oryctolagus cuniculus (rabbit)
Lineage: Eukaryota; Metazoa; Chordata; Mammalia; Lagomorpha; Leporidae
Source: RefSeq, a predicted model, not a curated record
GGGCGGCGCAUGCGCAGAAAGAACUGGGAGGGCCGUCCCAUGAGCCUGUGCGGUGAUCUUGUGAGUCGAAACUACAUUUCCCAAAAGUCCUUGCGCCCCCUCAGCCAGCAGGGAGCCGGAUUUCCGAAUUACCUGAGUAGUGGGAAAUAAUGUCUUCCGCGAGUUAAGUGCGUGGAAUCCUGAUUCUUCGCUGGACGCAUUCGUAUCUGGAACAAUGCUGUUCGACUGCAGAGUGGACAGUGAGCAAGAGAAAGGUCUUCCUUUGCUGUUGGUUCACCCUCUAAUGGCUGCCGCGGCCGGCACACCGCGCUGAUCCGAUGGCAGGAGCCAGGUACUUAUCCUGUUCUCCCAUGGGGUGCACGGCCCAAGUACUUGGGCCAUCCUCCACUGCACUCCCUGGCCACAGCAGAGAGCUGGCCUGGAAGAGGGGCAACCGGGACAGAAUCCGGCGCCCUGACCGGGACUAGAACCCAGUGUGCCGGCGCCGCAAGGUGGAGGAUUAGCCUAGUGAGCCGCGGCGCCGGCCGAACUUUAUGUCUUUAAAACAAUCUUGAUUUCCGCCUACAGAAUAAGCACAAAUCACAAGCUUGUAUUGUAAAAACUGUUAAUCUCAAGUUGUAUUUUCUCUAUAAAAAAGUUGGCCAACACUCAGCGAUCAGGAUUAUAUUAUAUUCAUCAUCCACCACUCAUACUGGACAUGACAAACACUCCUCCCAUUCCAUUUACGCCCAUUGACACACAGCUUCCACUGUGUAGUUGCUGCUGUUCAUGGCUCUAAGCUACUGAGUACAUGCACACUGCUCUGCUGUGCCCUCUGUAACCUCCACUCAGUUGCUGGCUGUCUGGGUCACCAUAAAUGGACUGAUCUGACAAGACCAGGUCUCCAGUAUCAUUUGACUACCAUAAGCACCACUACUUGCUCCUGCUGUAGCGUUCAGGCAGAGCUCUACACAUCUGUGUUGCAUAUUUGCUUUGUCUUUUUGACAUAGCUGCCACAGCACCAUCAUGAGUUGCGAACUCAACAUCUGCUUCACCAAGUUACUCUACCAUUGGGACCAACUUUAAUGUGAAUUCUCACAGGGUUGAAAGCAUUGUGGGAAGGAGUUAGACCACCGACUGUAGCGCCGGCAUCCCUUAUGGACAUUGGUUCGUGUACCGGCUGCUCCACUUCCAAUCCAGCUCACUGCUAACACACUUGGGAAAGCAGCAGAGGAUGGCCCAAAUCCUUGGACCUCUGCACCCACAGGAAGAAGCUCCUGGAUCCUGGCUUCAGACCAUCCCAGCUCCGCCCAUUACAGCUACUGGGGAGAGAACCAGCAGAUGGAAGAUUUAUCUCUGUUCUUCUCUCUCUCUAACUCUUUCAAAUAAUAAAUCUAUAAAAAAAAAAAAA